CAUGGUGUAAAUUUUGGAAUUAUACUCUUAAAUAAAGCCUUCAUUGCAUUGUUAUCUUCUAGCUAGAACCUUGAAGCCUGGCAAGGAUUAUGAGACUGGAAACUCCCAUUGAGACUACCAAAUGAAGAGAAAGUUUCAGACUGUUUAACUCGGACUAAGGGAAAAGAAGCAAAUUACAACAAGGAGAAUAUUGCGGAGAAAGCAAAGACAAGUGAAAAGUCGAGUGAAGAAAAAGCAAACAAGGCUUCACGAUCUGCAACUAGGCCACUGGCGAUGAAGAAGAAAAAUGUACAGCUAAAGAAGAUACAUCAGUGAUCAACUAAAGCUGGGCGACUUAUAUUGGAUUCACGAGGUGCAGGGGGGAUAUUAAUUUGGGUCUGUUUAUCUUUCUAGUUGUCAAUCUGUCUGUCUGUAACACUUCGUUCUCUUAACAUUUCCAAAAAGCCAUCAGAUAUUGCAAUGACAUUUUAUUUAUAUUAUAACUCAUUUUGACGAUCCCACUGCAGAACAUGAUUAAUCAUCAAUACAAAUUUAAUAUUGUUUAUAAAUUAGAUAUUACCCUUAUAUAUUUUGAAGUGAAAUGGUCAGAGGUCAAGGCCUCUUUCGGGGGCACAUAUUGUUUUUGCCUGUCUGUUUAUCUGUCUAUUGCCAAUUUACCUUUUGCCAUAACUUUUGAAUCAUGAGAGAU
Molecule: long non-coding RNA, 688 nt
Organism: Saccostrea cuccullata (small rock oyster)
Lineage: Eukaryota; Metazoa; Mollusca; Bivalvia; Ostreida; Ostreidae
Exons: 3
Source: RefSeq, a predicted model, not a curated record